GACGAACGCUGGCGGCGUGCCUAAUACAUGCAAGUAGAACGCUGAAGAGAGGAGCUUGCUCUUCUUGGAUGAGUUGCGAACGGGUGAGUAACGCGUAGGUAACCUGCCUUGUAGCGGGGGAUAACUAUUGGAAACGAUAGCUAAUACCGCAUAACAAUGGAUGACACAUGUCAUUUUAUUGAAAGGGGCAAUUGCUCCACUACAAGAUGGACCUGCGUUGUAUUAGCUAGUAGGUAAGGUAAUGGCUCACCUAGGCAACGAAGCAUAGCCGACCGGAGAGGGUGACCGGCCACACGGGAACUGAGCACCGGCCCAGACUCCAAGGGGAGGAGGAGUAAGGGAAUUUCGGGCAAUGGGGCAAACCCGACCGGACAACGCCGGCUGAAUGAAGGAGGGUUUUCGAUCCUAAAACUCCGUUGUAAGUCAAGAACGGAUGUGAGAGUGGAAAGUUCACACUGUGACGGUAGCUUACCAGAAAGGGACGGCUAACUACGUG
This 496-nucleotide ribosomal RNA is filed under the name uncultured bacterium. RNAcentral's name for it is "partial 16S ribosomal RNA". It matches the Rfam family "Bacterial small subunit ribosomal RNA", at positions 28 to 507 of the family's 1533-position model. The record is from RNAcentral.